This 240-nucleotide unclassified non-coding RNA is filed under the name Hevea brasiliensis (rubber tree). The record is from RNAcentral. Lineage: Eukaryota; Viridiplantae; Streptophyta; Magnoliopsida; Malpighiales; Euphorbiaceae.
GGGCUAUGUAGUGGGCUGCAUCGAUGUGGAGUUUACUUUUCUUUCCUUGGGUGGAAUUUGUGUUUAGUAUUUAAGCAUGGUUCUUGUUGUUUGCCGUGUUGGGGGCUUGUUCUUGUCUCCUUUAGCUUGUUGUUUGGCGUGCUUACAUAUGGUUAUUUAGGUCCUGUAUUUUGUGUCUUGGUCUAUUGUUUCUUCUUGAUGUUUUUCACUUAGUAUUUUUCUCUUUAGGUUGGAUCUUUG